UGGCAGCGUUCCUCUUUCCCAGGCC
RNAcentral lists this unclassified non-coding RNA (25 nucleotides) under Mus musculus (house mouse). RNAcentral's name for it is "oocyte_clustered_small_RNA13164". Lineage: Eukaryota; Metazoa; Chordata; Mammalia; Rodentia; Muridae. The record is from RNAcentral.